CUACGGGAUGCACCAGUGGGGAAUAUUGCACAAUGGAGGGAACUCUGAUGCAGCAACGCCGCGUGGAGGAUGACACAUUUCGGUGCGUAAACUCCUUUUAUAUAAGAAGAUAAUGACGGUAUUAUAUGAAUAAGCACCGGCUAACUCCGUGCCAGCAGCCGCGGUAAUACGGGGGGUGCAAGCGUUACUCGGAAUCACUGGGCGUAAAGAGCAUGUAGGCUGGUUUGUAAGUUGGAAGUGAAAUCCUAUGGCUUAACCAUAGAACUGCUUCCAAAACUACUUACCUAGAGUAUGGGAGAGGUAGAUGGAAUUUCUGGUGUAGGGGUAAAAUCCGUAGAGAUCAGAAGGAAUACCGAUUGCGAAGGCGAUCUACUGGCACAUUACUGACGCUCAGAUGCGAAAGCGUGGGGAGCAAACAGGAUUAGAUACCCUCGUAGUC
RNAcentral lists this ribosomal RNA (439 nucleotides) under uncultured bacterium. RNAcentral's name for it is "partial 16S ribosomal RNA". It matches the Rfam family "Bacterial small subunit ribosomal RNA", at positions 339 to 795 of the family's 1533-position model. The record is from RNAcentral.